This 73-nucleotide transfer RNA is filed under the name Kiritimatiellia bacterium. Its description in RNAcentral is "tRNA-Ala". It matches the Rfam family "tRNA". From Rfam's summary of the family: Transfer RNA (tRNA) molecules are approximately 80 nucleotides in length. Their secondary structure includes four short double-helical elements and three loops (D, anti-codon, and T loops). The record is from RNAcentral. Lineage: Bacteria; Pseudomonadati; Kiritimatiellota; Kiritimatiellia.
GGGGUUAUAGCUCAGUUGGUAGAGCGCCUGCUUUGCAAGCAGGAGGUCGAGGGUUCGAAUCCUUCUAACUCCA